GAGACGGCAGCUACACAUGCAGUCGGACGGUAGCACAGAGGAGCUUGCUCCUCGGGUGACGAGUGGCGGACGGGUGAGUAAUGUCUGGGAAACUGCCCGAUGGAGGGGGAUAACUACUGGAAACGGUAGCUAAUACCGCAUAACGUCGCAAGACCAAAGUGCGGGACCUUCGGCCCCAACACAAUCGGAUGUGCCCAAAAGGGAUUAGCUUGUAGCCGGAGCAACCACCCACCUAGGCGACGAUCCCUAACCGGUCCGAGAGGAUGACCAGCAACACACGAACUGAGACACGGUCCAGACUCCUACGGGACGCAGCAGUGGGGAAUAUUGCACAAUGGGCGCAAGCCUGAUGCAGCCAUGCCGCGUGUAUGAAGAAGGCCCUCCGGGUGUAAAGUACUUUCAGCGGGAAAAAAGCUGCUGAAGUUAAUAACCUCAGCAAUUGACGUUACCCGCAGAAGAAGCACCGGCUAACUCCGUGCCAGCAGCCGCGGUAAUACGGAGGGUGCAAGCGUUAAUCGGAAUUACUGGGCGUAAAGCGCACGCAGGCGGUCUGUUAAGUCAGAUGUGAAAUCCCCGGGCUUAACCUGGGAACUGCAUUUGAAACUGGCAGGCUUGAGUCUCGUAGAGGGGGGUAGAAUUCCAGGUGUAGCGGUGAAAUGCGUAGAGAUCUGGAGGAAUACCGGUGGCGAAGGCGGCCCCCUGGACGAAGACUGACGCUCAGGUGCGAAAGCGUGGGGAGCAAACAGGAUUAGAUACCCUGGUAGUCCACGCCGUAAACGAUGUCGACUUGGAGGUUGUUCCCUUGAGGAGUGGCUUCCGGAGCUAACGCGUUAAGUCGACCGCCUGGGGAGUACGGCCGCAAGGUUAAAACUCAAAUGAAUUGACGGGGGCCCGCACAAGCGGUGGAGCAUGUGGUUUAAUUCGAUGCAACGCGAAGAACCUUACCUACUCUUGACAUCCAGCGAACUUGCCAGAGAUGGCAUGGUGCCUUCGGGAACGCUGAGACAGGUGCUGCAUGGCUGUCGUCAGCUCGUGUUGUGAAAUGUUGGGUUAAGUCCCGCAACGAGCGCAACCCUUAUCCUUUGUUGCCAGCGAUCCGGGCCGGAACUCAAAGGAGACUGCCGGUGAUAAACCGAAGAAAGGUGGGGAUGACGUCAAGUCAUCAUCACCCCUACGAGUAGGGCUACACACGUGCUACAAGCGCACACACAAAGAGAACCAACCUCGCGAGAGCAACCGAACCUCAUAAAGCCGCCGAAGUCCGCAUCGGAACCUGCAACCCCACUCCGUGAAGCGAAACCGCCAAGAAUCGUGGAUCAGAAUGCCACGGUGAAUACGUUCCCGGGCCUUGUACACACCGCCCGUCACACCAUGGGAGUGGGUUGCAAAAGAAGUAGGUAGCUUAACCCUCGGGAGGGCGCUACCACUUGAUCGUUUU
This 1438-nucleotide ribosomal RNA is filed under the name Pantoea sp. RNAcentral's name for it is "bacterial SSU rRNA". It matches the Rfam family "Bacterial small subunit ribosomal RNA". Lineage: Bacteria; Pseudomonadati; Pseudomonadota; Gammaproteobacteria; Enterobacterales; Erwiniaceae. The record is from RNAcentral.